Molecule: ribosomal RNA, 279 nt
Filed under: uncultured bacterium
Lineage: Bacteria
Description: partial 16S ribosomal RNA
Rfam family: Bacterial small subunit ribosomal RNA
Source: RNAcentral
UGCCAGCCGCCGCGGUAAUACGGAGGGUCCAAGCGUUAUCCGGAUUCAUUGGGUUUAAAGGGUGCGUAGGCGGAAAUUUAAGUCAGUGGUGAAAGCCCACAGCUCAACUGUGGAACUGCCAUUGAUACUGAAUUUCUUGAAUCUAGUUGAAGUAGGCGGAAUACAUCAUGUAGCGGUGAAAUGCUUAGAUAUGAUGUAGAACACCGAUCGCGAAGGCAGCUUACUAAGCUAGUAUUGACGCUGAGGCACGAAAGCGUGGGGAGCAAACAGGAUUAGAUA